This 119-nucleotide ribosomal RNA is filed under the name Neogale vison (American mink). Lineage: Eukaryota; Metazoa; Chordata; Mammalia; Carnivora; Mustelidae. The record is from RNAcentral.
GUCUACGGCCAUACCACCCUGAACGCGCCCGAUCUCGUCUGAUCUCGGAAGCUAAGCAGGGUCGGGCCUGGUUAGUACUUGGAUGGGAGAACAUGUCACAUACGCAGUAAAUGUUGGAG